UUCAGGGGAUCAAAUGUUGUUUCUACUCUGGGAAUAUAAGCUUCAGAUGUGUAAUGUGUAAAAUUACUGGGAGCUGUGACAAAGCCGUACAAGGGUGAAAUAUACUGCUGCUGAAUUUUAUAUGUGCAUUUUAUAUGUGCUUUUCUGCAUUCUUUCAUAUGCUUUAGGAGCAAGAGAAUUCCCCAACCAGGCCAGUGCCCUGCUGGAAAGCAAGGGUAUCUCCAGGAUGUCAGUCUCAAAUUUGUACCUGGGGCAGGAUAUUAUUAUGUGCUCCAUGGUUUGAUCAGGGUUUCCACAGUUGCAGCCAGGUGAGGUUUUUAGGCACCACUUGUACAUCAGGUGGCCACACCAAACAUGUCCAGUGCGUAUCCUAUCAAGGGUUGUCCACAUGGAAGGUUGGAGGGAUGUUGCAUUGUUUGGUCAGAGGAAGGUUGAAGCCUGGCUGUUGCACUGUUGGGUUGGAAACAAGGUGUUUAUUUGGGAAAGUGUUUUCUGCUCAAGCUUUCCUCCAAGAUUCUUCAGUGUUGUGGUAUAUGAGGUGCUCAGUUCGUGUCCCAAAAGGUUUUCAUGAAAUCAUGUGAUGAGUUGGGAGAUCCUGAAUGGGAAGGUACAGAUUGCUAUUGAUACGCAUUUUUUCUCUGUAUGAUGCUACAUCCCGUCGAAAAGAGGGAGGAGUAAUGUUUGAAAGUACUGGUAGCCACUGCACUGGAGUUGAUAUCAAAGUUCCAGAGAUAGUUCUCAUUACUGAGUAGAGUUGUGUGUCGAUGAGUUUGUUAUGUUGACUUGAGGCCCAGAUGGGUGCCCAGUACUCAGCUGUACCCUGCUCAGACCAGGGCUACGGCAGAAGUGUGAAGGACAUCCACUUUUGCACCCCAGGUUGUGUUGGAGAGCUUUUGGAUGAUAUUCACUUGUGCCUUUGUUUUCAUGGCAGUCUUUCGGAUGUGAUGAUGGUAGGUUAGGGAGUGAUCAGGGGUCACCUCAAGGUAGGUAGGAGUUGGGUCGUGACAUACUUUUUCUUAACAAAAGGUGACGUUGAGGGUGUUAUGUGCCUUGCAAUUGUCAAGAUGGAAUGCAGAGACGAUAGACUUGGUUGGAUUUAUUCAUUCUCCACUGAUGGAAGUAUUCAGCCAUUAUUGGUAAAUCAGAGUUCAGUGUGGCUUCAGUAUCCUAAAAAGAUUUUGCUUGUGUGGUUAAAGUGAUAUCAUUGGUGUAGAUAAAUUUCUGUGAUGAUGUGUAGGGCAUAUCACUUAUGUAGAUUGUUAAAAAUUGUCAGUGCCAGAACACGACCCUGUGGAACGCUGUUGUUGAGUAUUCUCGGAGUGCUGGCCUUAUCUGGUAGGUAGACCUUCAUCCUUCUGUUGCUCAUUAAAGUCCACAGAAACUGGAGUAAUUUGGCACAUGGCAGCAGCAGGGAGAAUUUGAGCAUCAGUCACUGUUUCCACACAGUAUUAUAGACCGAGGAAAGAUCUAUGAGGGCAGCCUUGGUCUUGAGCUUAUGGUGAAAACCAGCUUCAAUGUUUGUAGUGAUGGCAAGCACUUAUUCACAGCAGCUACGAUAGGGUCUAAAGCCAGCCUGUUCUUGGGGUCGUAAUAGGUUGAUGAUAGCGAUGAUUCUUAGAAGGAUGAGCUGCUCCAGGAGCUUAUAGGUUUUGUAGAGCAAAGAGAUAGGCCUGUAGCUCCUAGGGUCAUGUACCAGCUUUCCUGAUUUUGGCAGGGCUAUCACCAUUGCCUCAUGCCAGAUUUGUGGAAUAUAGCUGUUCUUUAUCACAGUUGAAAAGAGAGCCAGAAGCCAUUGUUUUGCCGUGGGCCAAGAAGAGGGAGGAAUUUCGGUGGAAUACCAUCUUUCCCAGCAGCUUUCCCCUUCUUUGUGGAUGCUAGGCUAGCAUCCAGUUCCACAAAAGUGAAAUGAUCUGACAGUCGAGAGGACUGGACAGUUUGCCAUUGUCUCUCUUAAUUUCGUUUGAGUUGGCCACCAAUUUAGCAGCAACAGCAUUUGAGCUGACUUGUGGGUUAGCGGCCUCUGUUGGGUUUUGUGAGGCUUGCGCCCCUUUUACCGCCUGGCCUGUCGGGGUGUGGCCCCUCCCCUCAACUCUCCUGCCACGACUUUGAUGUUAAAUGUACUUUAAGAGGGGUUUGCAGUGGAGAUCUUUCCCGGGUGGGCCUCCCCGAUAGGUGGUGGUACUUACGAUCGUUCGACAUGAUGUUCCACGGGGCUCCGCCUCCCCUACACCCCGCCCACUCGCCAACCAGUUGGUGAUGCAUUAAUGCUGUCUUCUGGUCCUGUAUGACGACCGGGGACCUGUCUACCGGGUUCCUGGCGCUCUUUCUUCCCUCUUGGGGUAGUUUUUACAUCAAAGGAAAUAUUCCUCUGAGUAAGAAGGGGCUGCAGGGUUGCCUCCCUUAUCCCAGCCCCCUCUCGGGGUCUCUGAUGCCUCCUCUUCCUUACCGUAAGCAGGGAGCUCCCCUGCUUCCUUGGUAUCUGCUUUUUCUGGUGGCUGUAUAGGUGCUUCUGCUCUGCCUCCUGCAAGAGGCUUAAAGCUUUCUCCUGUGCUGCCUGCUUGAGCCACGCAGGCUGGGUUACCUCCUCCCCAUGCCGGAGCCUGCCUCAUGAGCUGCCAGCCCGUGUUCUCUCUCUCUGGCUGUCCCCCUGCCCCAGCUCCGGUGGGGCUUUUAAACUUUCCUGCAGCGGCUGGUACGGCCGCUGGGAUUGGCUCAGCUGUUCCCCAUGCCGGAAACAGCUGAUUAAACAGCCGGCGUAAUGCCGGUUCGCGCAGCUAUGGCUGCGGGUGCGGCUCCUGCUGCGGCUGCUCUGAGGGAGGUACGUUAGCCCCUCUGGGGGCUUUUUCUCGGGGUCUGGGGCCCAUGGGGUCUACUCUCUCCCCCUCGAGAACCUGUGGGGGUGCCUCACUGCCACAGGUUUGAUGUGUUAAGUUUCCUCAGGAAGCUCCAGGCCCAACGGCUUGAGUGCAUCAAGUCUGUGGAUUCCACUCAGUCCAGCCAGCUUUGUUGUCUACAAGUAUCCAAAGAUUCAAGUAGGGCUGUGGCUGUUGCUGGGUCUCCAGAUUCUUUAUACCAUUGGAAAAGGACUUAGCAGUCAUGGCUCCAACAAGGGAUGUACUGCUCUGAAACCUUGAAGGAUGUUCUUUUUACCUGCAGCAAUAAGCAGGGCCACAAAAUGAUUGUACUGUUUUGGCGUCAGGGGGAUGCAAUGGAUGGUUUUGUCCACCUCAACAGUAAAUCCAGACCAGUCUGCCCUAUGAAAGUGCCAUCUUGGCACUCAUUUUGAUGGCAUGACAGGGAUUUCAACUCCUACGUGACUCGUAAUUGGCCUCUGCUGGCUGUGUGGGAAGUCUGAGAGAAUAGUUUGAGACAGGUGUAUAGGGACACCUUCAUUAUCUGACGAGACAAGGGUGAGGUCAGGGUUGCAUUUCCUCCCCUAUCUUGCUGGUAGAAAAGUUGUACAAUGUUUGGUAUCAUACACAAGGUGAAGAUCCUGGGCUGACAUCCAGUCUAUCAGGGCUUGCCCAUUGUUGUCAUUUACAUCGUAACCCCAUUCGGUAUGGGGACUGUUAAAGUCUCCCACGUAUAUAGUUAGAUGCUAGGGGGGGUGGCAGAUAGGAGAGCUGGAUUAGGCCAUUCUACAUUAGGGGGUUUGUAGAUAUUGAUAACUGUCAGCUCGCCAAUUUUAAUAGCUGAUGUAGCGGUGCCUCUGUGUUCUGUGGUUGGGAUUGUGAUAUAGUUGGUAGUCUCAUCUUUCACAUAGAUUACCAGGCCAUAUUUUACAUGAGGUAGGGUUGUGGCAAGCUUGUAGCUGUAGAUCUUAUAGCAGUGUGCCUGCUCAUUAUUAGCAACAUGCAUUUCCUGUAAUGUGAGAACAUUCAUAUAAUCGAUCUCAGCAUCUUUCCUAGGUUUUGCCCGCAAGAGACCUUCCUUCAGCAUUCAGUAGACAGAUCUGUGUUCCAGGGUCUAAUCUUUGGGGUCUUGGUUCUUGAAAGGGAUUCUUGGAAUCACUUCAAUUUUGAGUUUUGCUCCAUUGACCGGGAGGCUAGUUAAAGGCGUUCAGUUGCCUUUUUGGUGACAAUAGUUGCAGACCCAGGAAUUUUCUGCAUUGGGCGUUUAUAAAUAUUGAGCUUUGGAUAGACAUAAUUUUAUAUUAUAUUUAAAUGUUAAACAAUUACAGUUGCAAAGCAGUCUGGGAUUCUUGGUUGAAACUUGCCAUAUGAAUGAAAAAAAUUGUUGCAACCAGGGGAGAUUUUCAUGCAAUCGGUCAAAGAUCAGACAGCAAAGCUGAGAGCCAAGAUACUAUAUAAAAUAGCAGAUCUGAGGAAAGAACAGGCUGCGCAAACAGGCGUGCUCCUAGGCCCGGUGUGCGAGUUAGCGUGGGAGUUCACGCAGGAGGGCAAGCGGGAGGGCCCGAGGCCCUGCCUGUGAGCCCCCCAGGGUAGACAGUCCCAGCCGCAGUCAGUGCACCAGCAGCAUAACGUGGAUGGGCAUGAGCCACACCCCUUGGGUCCUCUAAGGGUCUGCGGCCUCCACCUUUGGCACCUCGGAGACCGCCACCCAGAUGACGCCCAUGGUUCUGGGCUCCACGCAGAUGCUUACAAGUGCUGCCUGUCACUUUUUCAGGCUCUGGGGCCUGGGAGCAUGGCCACCUCCCCUUGUGAGGUCUGCUCCCUUUUGGGGUCUCUGCUGCGCCAGCUGGAGGAGCUCCAGGCCACAGUCCAGAGACUCUGCGCCAUCAGGGACUGUGAGCAGGAGAUUGACUCCUACGGCCAGGCCCUUCUCCCCUGGGAGGCGGAGGGCAGACCACUGUUGCCCUCCAGGACAAGGGAGGACUCGGGGACCUCCCAUUCUGUCCAGCCCAGGGGAUGGGCCGAGGUGGUCAAGGGCCCCCAGGCCGGCUGCACCAUGGCCGCUGCCCCACUGGAGCUUUGCAACAGGUAUGAACCUCUUGCAGCCCCUGCAGAGCCUACUGAGUUGCCAGCUCCUGCAGGCAACACAGGCUGUACUGUAGCUACCGCCCCCACUCUCCCCAAGACAAAACGCAAAGUGUUUGUCAUGGGAGACUCCAUCCUGAGGGAGACUGAGGGGAUAAUCUGCCUCCCUGACCCCUCAGCAUGGGAAGUUUGCUGCUCCCCGGGAGCCCACAUCCAAGACACUGUGGAGAAGAUCUCUAAACUCCUUCAGCCCACUGACCACUAUCCCAUGUUCCUUAUCCAGGUGGGCACCAAUGACACGGCUCAGAGCGCUCCCAGCCGGGUCAUGAGGUGCUACAGGGAUUUGAGAGCGGGGCAUAAGGGUCUGGGGGUGCAGGUGGUAUUUAAUUUGAUCCUCCCAGUCUCAGGCUAUGGGCUGAAGAGGGAGAGGAGGAUCCAGGUAGUUAACCAAAGACUGCGGCACUGGUGUCAUCAGGAAGGCUUUGGCUUCCAUGACUACAGUCCGCUCUUUGGUGAGAGAGGCAGUGAACUGCGGGGAAGGGACAGCCUCUACCUCUCUCAGCUGGGGAGGAGGCUCUUCUCAGCUAGACUGGCUGACCUGCAUCGUCGGGGUUUAAACUAAACCCGCUGGGGGAUGGGGGGACUACUGCCACUUCUGGCCUGCUGAGCAACCCUUGCAAAGCCAGCAGGCCAAGGCAUUUAAGGGAACCCACCCCUGCCCCAGCCCUGGAAAAAUCUGUAGGCAAGGCAAGGGCCCCCAAAGGGUGUGCCUUUUUUACCAGUCCCAUGGGACGCCCCUGCCCACUGUGGGUCAGGGAGGUCCGGGUGAGGGAGAUUCCUUGCCCUCCAUUGAAGCUGACCUUGUGAAGGCACGCUUUAAGAAGCUGGAUACCUUCAAGUCAGCCGGCCCUGACGGUUUACACCCAAGGGUACUCAAGGAGCUGGAAAGCAUCAUAGCUCAGCCCCUGGCACAUAUCUUUGAGAACUCCUGGUGCUCUGGUGAAGUGCCUGAUGAUUGGAAGAAGGCCAAUGUCAUGCCAAUCUUCAAGAAAGGGAGGAAAGUAGAUCCGGCAAACUACAGGCCCAUCAGCUUGACCUCUAUCCUGGGGAAGGUCUUGGAAAAGAUUAUCAAAGAGGCCAUCCUUAACAAACUAACUGACGGCAAUAUCCUGAGGGAUACCCAGCAUGGGUUUAUUGUGAGUAGGUCUUCCUUGACCAAUCUCAUUUUCUUUUAUGACCAGGUGACCUAUUACCUGGACAAGUGGGAAGAGAUUGAUGUCAUAUAUCUUGACUUUAAAAAAGCCUUCGAUCUGGUAUCCCAUGAUCACCUCUUGGCAAAACUGGCUAACUGAGGCCUCGACCUCACCGUUAUCCGCUGGCUGGGGAACUGGCUCCAUGGUAGGACCCAGAAGGUGGUGGUUGACAGAAGCCAAUUGUCUUGGUGCGCAGUCACCAGUGGGGUUCCUCAAGGCUCUGUCGUAGGUCCUAUACUGUUUAACAUCUUCAUCAAUGAUGUGGACAUUGGUGUCAGAAGCAGACUGGCCAAGUUUGCCGACAACACCAAACUCUGGGGUAAAGCAUCCACACCUGAGGACAGGAGGGUGAUCCAAGCAGAUCUUUACAAGCUCAUGAAAUGGGCGGAUGAGAACCUGAUGGUGUUCAACACCAAAAAAUGCGAGGUUCUCCACCUUGGGAGGAAAAACCUGCAGCAUCCUUAUAGGCUCGGCAGUGCUACGCUGGUUAGCAUUACAGAUGAAAGGGACUUGGGGGCCAUGAUUGACCACAAGAUGAACAUGAGCCUUCAAUGUGAUGCUGCAGCUAGUAAAACAAGCAAAAUGCUUGCUUGCAUCCAUAGAUGCUUCUCAAGCAAAUCCUGGGACAUCAUUCUUCUGUUGUAUUUGGCCUUGGUGAGGCCGCAGCUGGAUACUGCGUCCAGUUUUGGGCUCCACAAUUCAAAAAGGAUGUGGAGAAGCUUGAGAGAGUGCAGAGGAGAGCCAUGCGCAUGAUCAGAGGUCAGGAAAAUAGACCUUAUGAUGAGAGGCUGAGCGCCAUGGGACUCUUCAGCUUAGAAAAGCACAGGCUCAGGGGUGAUUUGGUGGCCACAUAUAAGUUUAUCAGGGGUGCUCAUCAGGAUCUGGGGGAAUGUCUGUUCACUAGAGCGCCCCAAGGUCUGUUCACUAGAGCGCCCCAAGAUCAAACAGUCACAAACUCCGCUGCAACCGAUUCAGGCUGGACAUAAGGAAGAACGUCUUUACUGUCCGAGCCCCCAAGGUUUGAAAUAGACUGCUGCCGGAGGCGGUUCAAGCACUCACUUUGAACGCCUUCAGGACACAUUUGGAUGCUUAUCUUGCUGGGAUCCUAUGAUCCCUGCUGACUUCCUGCCCCUAGGGCAGGGGGUUGGACUCAGUGAUCCUCCGGGGUCCCUUCUAGCCCAAAUGUCUAUGAAAUAUCUAUGAAGAGAGAUCUGUACUAAUUACUUCUAAGUAUUUAUUAAAUGAAGAGUGUUUAUCUUAGUUUUUAAUAAUUAAAGUAUAUAGUAAAAUAUUUUUUAUUUUAAGAAAAAGCUCUACACAAAAACCCCUUACAACAGUUAAUCUGGAAAAUACUUAGUUCAAUAGAACUGGAUUCUACAUUAUGCUUGUGUUCCAAUUGUGUUUAAAGAGUUCUUUGGACAUUUAGAUACCUUUCAGGAUACAACAGUUCCAAGCAUCUAACAUAAUCUCUUAGCUAGUCAGGGUGUAAAUCCUUAGCUGAUCAGCCAUGCGGGACCCCGGGUACCCCCCCCAGAUCCAGAAGGUACCCGUCAUUGAGCUGGAGGGGCAGGGGGGGCCCUACCAAGUGGACUCAGAAGUGGACCAGAAGUGCUUCUGGUCCACUUCUGGGUCUGCUGCCGAGUGCGCUAGGGAGCCCCUUGCACUCCUGUGGGAUGUUCCAUCCGCCCCGCCAUCUCAGCAUUCAUGAGCUGCCUGGUACCUUGAGGUAUGUAGAAAAAACAUUUAAAGCUGUGUCUAUGUCCGAAUCAUCAAAUCUCUCCACAUCAAUGCAGAGGGUUUUGAUUUGAUUAGGAGAGAUUAAAGGGUCUCCUGAUUUGAUUCGGAUUUGGAGAUUCAGCUACCGAAUUAAACUGAAUCUCCACCAAAUCGAAUCAGCGACCGAAGCUUCAUAUAGCCCUAAUGUUUGCUUUCCAUAGCAAGUCCCACUAAACUAGUCAAUUUAUUGAGUCCACCCAAUAAAAACGGAGUAGUAAUAAAUGUGCACAUACAGAAAGAAGGUGGAAGGGAUGGGGAACAAUAUAAAAAAUAUGAUAAUGCCAUUAUAAAUUGAUGUGAUGUUGUCUUCCUGUUGAGAACUGCAUUGGAUUUUGGUAAUCUCAUUUCAGAAAUGACAUAGAAGUAAUAUAAAAAGCCUGGUGAAGGGAAAAAUAUUAUAGGCUUGAGGAAGGAAAGGGAGGGCUAAAAAAUGCUGGAAUUAUUUAGACCCUGAUCAUGCAAUUGGAUGCAGGUGGGCUUUUACAUCCACUCAGGACUCUAUUGACAUCAGUGCCAGAUUUCAGAAUCUAAGCUUUGUACAUGCACAUUCCCCUCAGGCUGUGGAGAACUGUUCAAAAUUAUUGAAUGGCUAGGAAAUCAAAAUUGUAGGCUACGUUGAAUUCAAGAAGCAGGAGAAAUAAAUCUUAGUUUUAUCUUUCUCCACAAUCUGAAUACACAAUCCCUUGUAAGGCAUAGACAGUCACCAACAUUUUACUAUUCUACAGAUUCGAUAGGACUGAUUUGUUAUGGAGCAAACUUCUGGAAAGAUAAGGUUUCCUGUUCAUUUAACAUUUGGUUCUUUAUGCCUUGUUUCAAGCAAACAUGAUUAGCUUAUGCAAAUGUAAAUUAUAUGUUUGAUUUUUUUAUUAAUGUAAGACAUGAGCUUUAAUAUGUAGCAACAAGAAAAAUACCUCUGUAGUCUUUAGCUAUAAAGAGGCUCUUUCCUGCCACCUCAAGAAAUCCCACUCAUCUCUUAUUUAUAUUACACAAUUUAAGUCAAAGUUUCGCAGACAAAAUGGCUAAUACAUGAUUUGAUUAAAGAAACAUUUAAGGAAGGACAUAUAGAUAUUGGCAAUUAACAUGGUUUUGUGGAAAAUAGAUCCCACCUAACUUGAUAUCUGUUUUGAAUUAGAUUACAAUUUUGCUUGAUAAAGAUAAAAAUGUUGAUGAUAUUUAGAUUCCUAUGAGGCAUUUGCCUUGGUUAUUUUCAUUAAGAAACCAAAAUGAAACAAAAUGAAUGUGGUAGUCAUUAAGUAGAGUAAAAAGUGGUAAAUUAAUAGAUCUACAAGUGUAAUUAGACAUCUAGAUAGUACUACCUUUUCUGCAUAAAUGAUUUCUGUAUUUGCCCCACGCAUACUAUACAGUCAUGAAUGAGAGGAGCAAUGACUUAUGUGAUCAUAAUGAGCAAAGAAGUGUUUCAUGGGAUGAACUAUGUCCUACAAUGUGGUCUUGUAUUUGAAAGCUUGUCUGAUUUUAUCCCAAAUACGUACUUGGUUUAAUAAAAGAUAUCACCCUAAGAAAUCCUUGCGUCUUGCAUAAUUUAUGGACCAUCAUACCUACAGCAUCAUUCUUACACUACUGUCCCUGCUAUAAAAAGUUGAAAAUCUUGGGUAAAAGACACCUUUGAAAAUCUAGCAAGUUUUGAAAAAGACAUACUCUCAUUUCUUCAUCAGUUAAGAAAAUUUUUAAAAAUUAUAAAUGUUCAGCAUUCUUACAUCUUUUGGUAAGGCAGAUCUGAGGCAACUAAUGCAAUGUAUUGAAGUAAAUGGAACUCAUUCUUGGGUUUCUAUAUUAUAAAUAGGCAAGAUAAUGACCCUCAAAUGUAUCAUUUAUCAUCAAAUUUAGCAAAUCUAAAAAUGACUUAUUUCAUUCUAGUUUACAACUUCUGAUCAUUAGGGUGCAUUUAACCCUCAUUUAAACUUUUCAGAUUCAAAUUGAGUGCUGUAGAAAAGGUUACAGUCCAGUGGGCCAGAAAUUUUUAAGAGCUACUGUAAAUGGACUAGAGUUUGGAAACUACCAAUAAUACUAAGGGCAUCUAAAAUGGUAAUCCCUUCUAAAAGAUGUACAAAAUCAAGUUGUAGAAAAUAGUCCAUUUACUGACUACAACCUCAAAGCUACGAACAUGGAGGAGUGGGACAGAGGCUAGGAACAGAUGUUGCAUUUGUCUCUGGACAAGUUGUGCCUGCAUUUGUCCCAGAAAAGAAAUAUCCUGGGAUUGGCAUGUACACACAUCACCCUUGUAGUCAAGCUUUAGUGAGCAGUCGAAUGCACUGGUGUCUUUCUGCCAUUUGUUCAAUGAUGCCACAAAUUAGGCAAAAUUGAUUCAAUGAUGCAAUCCUGGGAUAACUGUUCAGGCAUACAUUGUGAUGUCCCAAGAUAAACUGCUCAUACUUGUUACCCCAUUAUUCCGGGACCACAAACAUGGAUGUCUGAAUGUUUGCAUUUUGUCCUGGGAUAAAAUGGUUUACCUUGGGACAGACUGAACAUCUGUUUGUAGCCAAAAUAGUUUAGAAGCAUUUUUUUUUCUUCUAAUCUGGUUAAGAGGUAUUAUCUUAAGGGUACUGCUUACCUUGGCUUGCUCUGCUUUUCUAGGGAUAGUGUAAUUAGCACUGAGCGCAAUAGUUACCUUUCUUAUUUCUUUUUUUUUAUGUAUAUUAAAAUAUUAGUGGAGGUAUUUCUUGUGUGUUCUUCAGGAAUUCUGCAGAGGGGGAAGUUGGUACCUUUAAGGAAAGGACCGAGGACUAGAUCUACAAAGGGACUGUGAUGCUGCAAGCCUGAGAUAGCUGUCAAAGCUCUCUACAGUACAGGCAACCCGCACUUAUCGCUUUUAAUUGGUUCUGGAAAAAACGAGUGUUAAGCAGAGCAGCUUUAAGCGAAACCCAUUUUCCCAAUGGGAAUUAAUGUAAAUAAAUAUAAUUUGUUACCAGAGCACCCAGCAGCAGCAACAUGAGCACCUGGUAGCUCAGGGCCAGCUUGGCCCAGGCUGUGAAGGCAGUGCUCUUGGACCCCUCCAUGCCAGGUGGUGGGCAGGGGGGUGGUCAUGGUCACAGUCACGGUCACUCCAGACCAGCUCCCCCUUCUCUCAGCUGGCACAGCCCAGCCUGGCUCCAUAAAGCCCCUGCCAGUCUGGGCCCCAUGCUCCUGCCAUCCUGCCCUGGGCCCCUGCUGGCCCUGGCACUGGGGCACCGGCAUGGGCCCCGUGCUCACGCCCGCCCGCCCACUUAGUGCCAGUUGCCUCCCUGCCUGCCGCUGCUAUUUCCCUGCUUUUCCGCCCACCACUGCCACUUCUCCCCACCUGCCCGCCAGCUGCUCUGGCACCACGUGCCGAAGUAUUAUAACGAAACUCACUGAGCGCUAAGUGGAAUCAGGUAUGAAUGUAAAAUGAGCACUGUAGCAAAACAGUGCUAAGUGAAACAGCGUUAAGCUGGGGUUGCCUGUAUAUAGAGAAAGUUAAGCACCUACUCUGUACUACAAUGUUUUGUCAGCAUAGUCAUAGUAGCUAGAGGAGGGAGGAGGAGUGAAAAAGACCAUAGUUCUUAGCUAUGCUGACAUUAGUCUUGGUGUUGGCACAGUUAUGCUAACAAAAAGUAUUUUUGUUGGCUUAGCUCUUGUCAUUUAGGGGGUGGCCUGGCUAUAUUAGCAGAAAAAAAUUCUGUUAGCAUACACUACAAAUCAAAUCCUGAUUUGGAAUGGACUAAAUUUGGCCUAGUGUAAAGGGCCAGCCCACAGUCUACUCACUACUUCAGGCUUUCUUAUGCUCUGUUUUCUGGGUUUAGGGUCUUAUUAGGGUCUAAUCAUAGUCUUAGGGUCUAAUCACAGUCAUAGCAAUCUAGGGCUGGAAGAGACCUCAGGCCACAGGGCAGAAACACCUCUGCCUAAGCUAUCCCAGACAAAUGUUUGUUUAAUCUGUGUGUGAAAGCAUGCAGUGUUGGAACUUCCACAAUCUCCUUAAUCUGUUUCAAUACUUCAGGGCUGUCCAAUUUUUGGGGGGAAGUGAGGUGACAAACAUCCUGUAGGCUGCAAACCCCUGACUGGCAUAAGCAUGGGCUGCACACCACAGGUCUGGUCCCAUUGGGGUUCACCCCUGCUGUGCAGGCAGCCCAUUCCCCUUGCUCCCCAUAUGCAACCCAGACUGCACCACGGUCACCCCAUAUCUGCUCCUGGCCCUGCUUUCAGCCAUGCAUGCGGUCUGGGCAGCCCCACUCUGCUCCCAGUGGUGCAUGCAGCAAGGCUUUGCUCCUGGCUGUACAUGCAAGCCCAAUCAGGCCCAGCCAGGCCCACUGUGCUUCAGCUUCUCUCUUCCUGGCUGUGCAGAGAGCGCAGGCAACAGAAUCCCCUCCCUGGCCCUUCUUCCAUCACAAUGCCUGGCCUCCAGGAGCAGGGCAGGAAGCAGAAGCCGGAAGAGAGAGGCAGACCACAGAGCAGCUGGAACCAUGUGGGGAGUGGUGGCCAGAUAGGAGCCUGCAAGCCACCAGUUGGAUAGCCCUGUAAUACUUAAUCACCUUCAUAUUUAGAAAGUUCUUUCAAAUAUCCAACUUAAAUCUCACUGGUUGCCUUUUAAACCUGUUACUUCUUGUCCUGUCUCCUGUGAGCAUAGAGAGAACAAUUACUUACAACAAUCCAUUCUGUAUUUGAAGACUGCGAUCAAAUUCCCCCUUAGUCUUUUCUUAAAGGUGAAUAAUCCAAGUUCUUCCAAUCUUUCUUCAUCUGUCAUGUUCCAUAGACCUUGAAUCAUUUCUAUUGCUUUCCACUGGAUUCUUUCUAAUUUAUCUGCGUCUUCCUUGAAGUGUGGCACUCAAACAGGGCCUCACUGCCCCAUCAGGGAGUAGAGUGAAAGAAUCAUUUCCCACUUAUUAAGCUGUCGACUUAUAUUUAGCUUUGCAGUUUGCUAUAACUCUCCCAUUGUUUUCUGCGUUACUGCAGCCUGGCCAGUCUUUCCCCAUUUUCUAUUUGUACAUUUUAUUCUUUCUUUUUUUUUGCACUUAUCCUUAUAGAACUUAAUCUGAUUUAUUUCAUACUGAUUCUCAAAUUUGUUCAGGUCAUUUUGAAUCCUAUUCCUGUCCUGUAAAGCAGGGCUGUCCAGUUGAGAAACUGUGGCUGGUGGCAAUGGCUGAGGUUUCUGGACUCCCCCUCCCUCCUCUGGCUUCUAGUUCCUGCCAUGCUUCUGGGCCCAGGGCAGCAACAGUGAGAGGGGGGCAGACUACCCAGGCUGUGUGGGGCAGGGAAGGGUACCAGGCUUAGUGCACACUAAGUGUUUGGCAUGGGAGGGAACCAGGCUGUCUUUGCUGAGUGCUGCAGCACAUGUGGCUAGGAAGCAAGCUGGGACGCAUACAUGGUGAAAGGCGACUUUGGAGGAGAGGUCAACUCCUGUGAUGUGUAGCCCUGGGGUCUGCAGCCUGCCCUGUGUGAUGCUCCCAGCUGCCUAGAAGUUGGACAGCCCUGCUAUAAAGUGCUGCAACCUUAUAAGUGCAAACUUAUGAAGUGUACCCUCAGUCCUAUCUGUCAAGUCAGUUCCUGAAUGGUGCUGAACCUAGAACAGACAUCUGAGAAUCCCACUUGAUAAUUUUUCCCAAUUAGACACUGAGCCAUGGACUAUGCUUCGAGUUCAGUUUUCCAUCCAGUUAUAAAAUCCCCUUCUCUAGGAUUUUCAUGUAGGCUAUAUUUUCUUACCUUCAUUCUGAAAAUGGGAGACAGUUUCUAAAGCUUUGCUAAAGUCAAAGUAUAGCACAUAGAUAUGCUCUCCACCCAUCUGCAAAGCCUGUCACCAUGUCAUAAAAGAAAAUCAUAGUGGCUAAGCAUGGACUGCUGUUCACAAAUCCAUGGUAGUUGUUAGUUAUCGCCUUGUUAUCUUAAAUUCUUUGCACAAAUAAAUAUCUUGUGAAGUAUUACAUUGACCAGUCUGUAAUUCCAUGGGUCCACCUUUUCUGUUUUUUAAAGAUGGGCACUGUAUUUGUCCUUUCCAAAGUGUUAUGGGACCAUGUCUACCUCUAUCAGUUCUCAAAGAUAAUAGCCAAUGGCUCUGCAAAUACCUGAGACAGUGUUUCUAGCAUGAGCCUCAUCAGGCCCUGAUGAUUUGGAAAUAUCUAGCUUAUCUAAGUAGUCUUUAAUCAUUUUUUUCUUUACUUAAGGCUGGUUAGCCUUGCUGCUGAGUUUGCCAUCUGUUAGUUAAUUUUUUUUGAGGGGGAGAUGUGGGGGCUAGGAACUGAGGUAAAAAAGGCAUUAAACUCUUCAGGCUUCUCCACAUCAACUCGUGCUAGUCACCCCUUCCAGUUCAGUAAGGGACACUGUCCUUGAUCUUCAUCUUACUUGUAGCAGAUUUAUAUGAUGCUUUUUGUUGCCUUUUACAUCCUUUGCUAGCCGGAUUUCAUUAUGUGCCUUGGCCUUCUGUAUCCUGUCCAUAUUAUAUUUGUAUGCUCAUCUUUAUUGCCAAGUUUCCAUUUUUGAAGAUUCUUUGUUAAAUUUCAAGUAAUUGAAGAGUCCACUGUUUAGCCAAGCUGGUAUCUUGCUACAUUUCCUGUCCUUCCUUUGCACUGAGAUAGUAUGCCGUUGUGCCUUUAAUAUUGUCUCUUUAAGGAGCAACUAACUAUCUUUGAUUCCUUUAUCCCUUAGAUUUGCCUCCCAUGGGAUCCUGCCUACCAAGUCCUUAACUUUUCUGAUAUCCACAGGUGUUUACACAUGUGCUCUGGGAGUGUGUGUGCACGUGUGGGGGGGCACUUUAAUUUGAGUAACUCCGAGAGCCGCUUUAAUUAAAGCACCAGAGCAUCUUGUAUAUCAGCAUCCCAAGCUGAAAAAUGGCGGUGGGGGUGCUUUAACUAAAGCUCAGUCCAGCAGACUCAAUUAAUAAAGUCUGCUCCAACGCACUGUAAUUACAGUGUGUUGGAGCAGCCUCGCUGCACAUGUAUAGGUGUCCCAUAAUUUUAAUUCUGAUACUCUCCUUCUUUUUUUUCCCUAGGAUCAUGAACAGUUAUUGGCUAGGCACAGACAGUCAAAAAGCCUGAGACUGAAUUGAUUCAGUCUUUGCAGACAAAGAAGAAAGAAAGAGGCAGACUGCCAUUGUUAUUUUUAUUUUGAAAUGCAUGG
Alligator mississippiensis (American alligator) is the source of this 15046-nucleotide RNA transcript. It is a transcript of the gene named transmembrane protein 182, with no coding region annotated. The transcript has 2 exons. The record is from RefSeq and is a predicted model, not a curated record. Lineage: Eukaryota; Metazoa; Chordata; Crocodylia; Alligatoridae.